UGGAUGGUGAACCCAAGCCCCCUUCAGUCACAUCCACGUCAGGAGUUGAGCUGGGACUGGAAUUUCCUGCCCUGGAGCUUUUCGCUACCAGGCGUGCUGACCAGAAGUCAUAUUCCUGAAUAAGCCCAACAGGUGCAUUCCUAAGGGGAAUAAGGUGGGAACAUCAAAGGUGGGGGGAGUGCACAAAAGUCCCUGCAGACCAGUAGCUAUCCAUCCUUUGGCAACAGUCUGUGGCUACCCUGCCCCCUCCUCCAGAUGCUUUUCUCGGUUAACACUGCCAUCUAGUUCUGCCAAUGACCUGUCAGCAUGAGAAGCUUGCAGACAGUCAUGCUGUCUCCUAAGUGCCAUUCUGUGUAUCCUUGUAAGCCCUUCAAACUGUAUCAUUAAUAUAAUUGUUAUGAUUAAAUAAAAAUUUAAUGUGCCUGCAUGGAUCUGCUGCACACGUAUG
Orcinus orca (killer whale) is the source of this 448-nucleotide long non-coding RNA. RefSeq lists it as uncharacterized. NCBI's taxonomy places the organism in Eukaryota, Metazoa, Chordata, Mammalia, Artiodactyla, Delphinidae. The transcript is spliced from 2 exons. The record is from RefSeq and is a predicted model, not a curated record.